GAUCCUGGCUCAGGACGAACGCUGGCGGCGUGCUUAACACAUGCAAGUCGAACGGGAAGAAAAGAAAGAGCUUGCUCUUUCUUGGAUUCUAGUGGCAAACGGGUGAGUAACACGUAAACAACCUGCCUUCAGGAUGGGGACAACAGACGGAAACGACCGCUAAUACCGAAUGCCUUCCAAUUUCCGCAUGGAGAUAGGAAGAAAGGGUGGCCUCUACUUGUAAGCUAUCGCCUGAAGAGGGGUUUGCGUCUGAUUAG
RNAcentral lists this ribosomal RNA (257 nucleotides) under uncultured bacterium. RNAcentral describes it as "partial 16S ribosomal RNA". It matches the Rfam family "Bacterial small subunit ribosomal RNA", at positions 15 to 244 of the family's 1533-position model. The record is from RNAcentral.